Molecule: ribosomal RNA, 465 nt
Filed under: uncultured bacterium
Lineage: Bacteria
Description: partial 16S ribosomal RNA
Rfam family: Bacterial small subunit ribosomal RNA
Source: RNAcentral
AGUGAACGCUGGCGGCGUGCUUAAUACAUGCAAGUCGAACGAUGAAGCUUCUAGCUUGCUAGAAGUGGAUUAGUGGCGCACGGGUGAGUAAUAUAUAGUUAAUCUGCCUUGCACUGAGGAACAACAGUUGGAAACGAUUGCUAAUACCUCAUACUCCAACUUAGCAUAAGUUAAGUUGGGAAAGUCUUUUCGGUGCAAGAUGAGACUAUAUCGUAUCAGCUAGUUGGUAAGGUAAUGGCUUACCAAGGCUAUGACGCGUAACUGGUCUGAGAGGAUGAUCAGUCACAUUGGAACUGAGACACGGUCCAAACUCCUACGGGAGGCAGCAGUAAGGAAUAUUGUGCAAUGGGGGAAACCCUGACGCAGCAACGCCGCAUGGAGGAUGACACUUUUCGGAGCGUAAACUCCUUUUGUUAGGGAAGAAUAAUGACGGUACCUAACGAAUAAGCACCGGCUAACUCCGUG